Prionailurus viverrinus (fishing cat) is the source of this 108-nucleotide long non-coding RNA. RefSeq lists it as uncharacterized. The transcript has 2 exons. The record is from RefSeq and is a predicted model, not a curated record. Lineage: Eukaryota; Metazoa; Chordata; Mammalia; Carnivora; Felidae.
UGUUGCUUGGGUUGUCUGAGGAAGACUUGUGUGGGGGGAACCACACCAUUAUGGACUCACAGAAACUGGAUUUACUCUCUUGUCUAUAACAACAACAAAACCACACAA